This 490-nucleotide ribosomal RNA is filed under the name uncultured bacterium. RNAcentral describes it as "partial 16S ribosomal RNA". It matches the Rfam family "Bacterial small subunit ribosomal RNA", at positions 30 to 507 of the family's 1533-position model. The record is from RNAcentral.
AUUGAACGCUGGCGGCAUGCCUUACACAUGCAAGUCGAACGGCAGCAUGAUCUCGCUUGCUAGAUUGAUGGCGAGUGACGAACGGGUGAGUAAUACAUCGGAACGUGCCCUGUAGUGGGGGAUAACUAGUCGAAAGAUUAGCUAAUACCGCAUACGACCUGAGGGUGAAAGUGGGGGACCGCAAGGCCUCAUGCUAUAGGAGCGGCCGAUGUCUGAUUAGCUAGUUGGUGAGGUAAAGGCUCACCAAGGCGACGAUCAGUAGCUGGUCUGAGAGGACGAUCAGCCACACUGGGACUGAGACACGGCCCAGACUCCUACGGGAGGCAGCAGUGGGGAAUUUUGGACAAUGGGCGAAAGCCUGAUCCAGCAAUGCCGCGUGUGUGAAGAAGGCCUUCGGGUUGUAAAGCACUUUUGUCCGGAAAGAAAUGGCUCUGGUUAAUACCUGGGGUCGAUGACGGUACCGGAAGAAUAAGGACCGGCUAACUACGUG